CCUACGGGCGGCAGCAGUGGGGAAUAUUGGACAAUGGGGGCAACCCUGAUCCAGCCAUGCCGCGUGUGUGAAGAAGGCCCUCGGGUUGUAAAGCACUUUCAGUGAGGAAGAACGCCUGGUGGUUAAUACCCAUCAGGAAAGACAUCACUCACAGAAGAAGCACCGGCUAACUCCGUGCCAGCAGCCGCGGUAAUACGGAGGGUGCGAGCGUUAAUCGGAAUUACUGGGCGUAAAGCGCGCGUAGGUGGCUUGAUAAGCCGGUUGUGAAAGCCCCGGGCUCAACCUGGGAACGGCAUCCGGAACUGUCAAGUUAGAGUGCAGGAGAGGAAGGUAGAAUUCCCGGUGUAGCGGUGAAAUGCGUAGAGAUCGGGAGGAAUACCAGUGGCGAAGGCGGCCUUCUGGACUGACACUGACACUGAGGUGCGAAAGCGUGGGUAGCAAACAGGAUUAGAUACCCCAGUAGUC
Molecule: ribosomal RNA, 465 nt
Filed under: Vreelandella stevensii
Lineage: Bacteria; Pseudomonadati; Pseudomonadota; Gammaproteobacteria; Oceanospirillales; Halomonadaceae
Description: partial 16S ribosomal RNA
Rfam family: Bacterial small subunit ribosomal RNA
Source: RNAcentral